CUUAACAUCAACAGCUACAAUCAGACAGGCGUUUCAUCCUCUUCCAAAUACCAAACUGGCAUGGAUUAUUCAUCGUUUUGUUUAAGGGGGUGUUUGGUUUAUAGUCAGGAAAAAAAAAGUAAUGAAGAUACUGUGAGGGUCAUACUGCAACCAUCCUUAUUUCUUACCUGGAGAAGUAUCGAUAGUAACUUGGGUCAACCUUUACUCUGAGAAUCACCGUGUAUGAGCAACAGUCUGAAUCCGGAACGCAGCAGAGCAAGAAGCAGCCGUGCUGCUUCUAUGGCUGCUGCUUGGGGUCACGGUACCCAGCAUCGACCAGGACCUUCUCCUUCUUGGCGAGCUCAACGUCGCGAUCAACCAUCAUCUCAACGAGCUGCUGGAACCCAACCUUGGGCUUCCAUUUGAGCAACUUCCUCGCCUUGGUGGAGUCUCCCUGGAGGCUGUCGACCUCUGCGGGGCGGAAGUACUUCUUGUCAAUGACCACAUGAUCCUUCCAGUUGAGGCCGGCGUAGCCGAAGGCAGCCUGCAAGAACUCCUCGACUGUGUGGGACUCCUCGGUGGCGACGACGUAGUCGGCCGGCUGAUCCUGCUGCAGCAUGAGCCACAUUGCCUCCACGUAGUCCCCCGCGAACCCCCAGUCCCUGGCCGCCGAGAGGUUGCCCAGGAAGACCUUGGUCUGCAGGCCGAGCUUGAUGCGGCCGACGGCGCGCGUGAUCUUGCGCGUCACGAAGUUCUCGCCGCGGCGCGGGGACUCGUGGUUGAAGAGCACGCCGUUGCAGGCGAAGACGCCGUAGGCCUCGCGGUAGUUGACGGUGUACCAGUGCGCGGCGACCUUGGCAGCGGCGUAGGGGGAGCGCGGGUGGAAGGGCGUGUCCUCGCCCUGCGGCGGCGGCGUGGAGCCGAACAUCUCCGAGGAACCAGCCUGGUAGUAGCGAAUGGGCCUGCGCGACAGGCGGACGGCCUCCAGGAGGCGGAGCGCCCCCGUGGCAGUGACGUCGGCGGUGUAGUCGGGGACCUCGAAGGAGACGGCGACGUGCGACUGCGCCGCGAGGUUGUAGACCUCGUCGGGGGAGAUGGCGUCGAGCGCGCGGCGGAGGGAGGAGGAGUCGGACAGGUCGGCGUAGUGGAGCCGCAGCGGGGGCCGCGGGGACGACGGCACCGCGUGUGGGUCGUGGUAGAUGUGGUCCAGCCGCUGCGUGUUGAAGUUGGAGGAGCGGCGCAUGAGGCCGUGCACCUCGUACCCCUUCGACAGGAGCAGCUCCGUGAGGUAGCUCCCGUCCUGCCCCGUGAUGCCCGUGAUCAGCGCCACUUUCCGCGCCGGCGCGAGGGCCCGCGGCACCGGGGCGGUCUCGCCGUCAGUGGCAGUGGCAGUGGCAGUGGUGGAAUGAGCCAUUUGGGAAGCGAAGCGAGCAAGGGGGGAUUGCCUCGUGUCGGGGGGUCAGGUCUGGGAAGCAAAU
RNAcentral lists this unclassified non-coding RNA (1457 nucleotides) under Zea mays. Its description in RNAcentral is "misc RNA Zm00001eb377780". The record is from RNAcentral. Lineage: Eukaryota; Viridiplantae; Streptophyta; Magnoliopsida; Poales; Poaceae.